CCUGCCCUUAGUGGCAUUGCAGGUUUGGCUUCUGUGUUACAGGUGCAUCAGUAGGUGACAGAGAGGAGAAAGACAUAUAUUUAAGCUAGCUGUUCUGAUCUAUGAACAUCUGAGUGAUUAGCAGUAGCCUAACAUU
Small nucleolar RNA from Meriones unguiculatus (Mongolian gerbil), 136 nucleotides. The record is from Ensembl. Lineage: Eukaryota; Metazoa; Chordata; Mammalia; Rodentia; Muridae.